Long non-coding RNA from Gossypium raimondii (Peruvian cotton), 424 nucleotides. RefSeq lists it as uncharacterized. The transcript is spliced from 3 exons. The record is from RefSeq and is a predicted model, not a curated record. NCBI's taxonomy places the organism in Eukaryota, Viridiplantae, Streptophyta, Magnoliopsida, Malvales, Malvaceae.
GGGGAAGCCAUAGUUAGGGUUUUCAAGCUUCCAAGCUCCAUAAUCAAGAAGUACGAAACUCGAGGUUAGACAAAGGGAAGAAUAAAGUUGAAGACUAAGUUGGUGAAUUUGGCUAUAAUUGGUACCGAGUAUUGCAAAGCUACUUCAAGGAUCCUAAAGAAGUCGGAGAUCGUCCACACUAUCAACCACAACUGCUCGGUAUUUUAUAUCGAAUCACGUUUGAGUUAUGGCAUGUAUAGGGAUUUAGUUUUUUUUGUAUGUUUGUAAUGAUGAUUUUGCUAAUGAGUGAUGUGUAAGUAUUUGAUGAUGUAUGGUCAUUAAAAUGGUUAAGGAUGAAGGUGUUUGUUGUUAUGAAAGAUUAGGUGAUAAAUUAUGCAUGGAAAUCAUGAAAGGAUAAAAUUUUGCAAAGAAACAGAAUUCAGGC